UACGAAGGGGGCUAGCGUUGCUCGGAAUCACUGGGCGUAAAGGGUGCGUAGGCGGGGCUUUAAGUCAGGGGGGAAAUCCUGGAGCUCAACUCCAGAACUGCCUUUGAUACUGAAGAUCUUGAGUUCGGGAGAGGUGAGUGGAACUGCGAGUGUAGAGGUGAAAUUCGUAGAUAUUCGCAAGAGCACCAGUGGCGAAGGCGGCUCACUGGCCCGAUACUGACGCUGAGGCACGAAAGCGUGGGGAGCAAACAGG
This 253-nucleotide ribosomal RNA is filed under the name uncultured bacterium. RNAcentral describes it as "partial 16S ribosomal RNA". It matches the Rfam family "Bacterial small subunit ribosomal RNA", at positions 524 to 776 of the family's 1533-position model. The record is from RNAcentral.